GCGCUGCGCGGGGACUGAGUGGGCCGGCGAAGGCCGCCGUGGGUCGCCCGGUGCCCCGGCCUUUCUCACGGAGCCUCCCCCGGCCCUCGUGCUGGGGGGCACCCCUGGUCCUCUGCGGCCCAGCGCGAGCCGCGGGGCACCUGCCGCGUUUGCUCCGGGGGCGGCCUGGAGCCCCGGCUGUCGCUCUCCCGGCGUCCCGGUGAGGGGCACCGCUGGCGGCCGACCUGGCGAGGACCCCCCCCCCCCCGCCGCGGGGGCGGCGCGCCUGCCCCUAAAGGUCACUGCCGGCGGAGGUGCCCCCGGCUGCGCGGCGGGGGCGCGGCGACGCGGGGUCCCGACGUCCAGCCCCGGGGGCGCGGCUCCGGCGGCCCCGCCCGCUCGCCGGCGCGGGACGUGCCGUGGCCUUCGUGCCGGGCGGCCGCGCGCGUCCGUGCCGCGAGCCGCAGUCGGCUGGCCUUGCGCGCGUGUGGCUUUUCCGGUGGCGCUCGCGCGGAGCGGUCGUCCGGCAGCGCGCUGUCCCGUCAGCCUCGCGUCCCCGCGCUCCGUCCGCGCUGUCCCGAGCGCUAGGGUUUCUCCGUAGUUUGGGGCCGAGCAGUGUUGCGUUGCGAUAGACACGGCUCCGUCGCCCACAGCCUGGUUGUCCGCUCACGGGUCGGUGGGCGUUUGGGUCGCUGCCGGGUCCGGGCCGCGGGGGGAAGGGCUGUCUGAGCCGGUGUCUGGCCCCUGACGCGCGGAUCUCGGCGGCCGCGCUCGUGCGCUCCCUUCGGUUUGCUUCGUAACUUGCCCUUUUCUCGAGCUGACUCGGUUGUGUUCGUACCUGCGACCUGUGCAAUCCGUGUUCGCCGACCGUUCGAGGGACGGGCCGGGCCGUUGGGCUGUUGGCAGUGAUGCCUCUGGGGAGUCCGAGGUUACAGAGAGAUUUUCAGGAUCCCGUCUAGCCUUUCCCGGAGCGACCGCGCCAGUCUGCAUUCCCGCCGACAUCCAUGCACUUGCCGUCUCAUCUGUGUGACAAAGGCCCUUCUAACAGACAUGGGGUGGUAACUCACUGUGGUUUUAAUAAUGCGUGCCCGUAAUGCUUAGCGACACAAAACAGCUUUUCGUGUACCUGCUGGCCUUUUGUAUAUGUUCUUUGGAGAAGUGUCUCUUCAGUUCUUUGCCCGUUUUUUAAUUGGGUUUUUUGUUUCCAUGCUGUUUGUUGAGUUGCGUGAGUUCUUUAUAUGUUUUGGAUAUUAACCCCUUAUCAGGCAUAUGGUUUGCAAUCUUUAUCCCCAUUCCAUAGAUUGUCUUUUCACUUCAUUUUGCUACGCACAAGCUUUAGUGUGAUGUAGUCCCACUUAUUUUUUAUUUUGUUGCUUAUGCUUUCAGUGUUACAGCCAAAAAUCAUCAUGAAGACGGUGUCAAGGAGUUUUAUUCCUGUUUUCCUCUAGGAAUUUCAUGACCUCAGGUCUUACGUUUAAGUCGUUAAUCAAUUCUGAGUUAAUUUUUUGAGUGGUGUACGAUCAGGGUCCAGUUUCAUUCUUUUCCAUGUGAAUAUCCAGUUAUCCCAGCACCAUUUGUUGAAGAGACUGUCUUCUCCAUUGAGUGUUCUUUAAAGAAGAAGAAGAAGAAGAAGAAGAACUCCUCUUACACAACUACAACUGCUUCUUGCAGACCUAAGGAAGAGGAGCCCACCACACCUGGACGUUUGACUGGAUAGGAUCUCACUUACGUCUAUGGAAUUCUCUGGGGGGAAGAAAAUGGAAGACCGUAUGGCAAUUCUCAGACAACCUUCAGUGAGUUCUUCGACAUUCCAUCUGUAGCCCAGGCUUCUGUCUGCACAGGUUCCGGGUAGAGCCCACAAGCAGGCCCAGCUACAUAACCUGUGGGGCCCAGAGCAACAUGAAAAUGUGGAGGCCCUUGUUCAAAACGCCCUGAAUGCUCCGUGAGAGCCGACCUCUGAACCCUUCCAAGCACAAGGCUGUGCGCAAGCCGCCACAGGGACCACGCGUCCAGGAAGCGGGCACUGCGCACACCUGAGAAGCAAGUCACGCACCCGGUGGAGCUCAAGGUCUGCACAUCGUGGCGCGCCCCAUGCUCACGACAAGUCAUUCUCUCCUAUCCCGGAGACACAGCGAGGUCUUCCCACCGUCUUAGGCAGUCGGGAAUCGCCACCGCAGUCUCCUGCACCAGGCUUCGCUCUUGACCUCUCAAUCAGCCAGGUUCAAACAACUUUGGAGAGAAGGCUGUCAUCUGGGGAAUACUGAAGCCACAACAUGGAAGAGGAUGCCUGAGCCGUCACAUAGAAGACUGCCUGCCAAAUACCACAAUCAACUGUCAAAUGAAGGAUAAAUACAGUUCUGUAACGUUAAGCCAAUUGCCAUACCUUGAGUGUGUGUGUCAGGACAGGGCAAUGUACAGUAACAUACCACGCCCAAAUCUCAUUAUCUUAUAACACAAAUGUAUUUCUUGUUUAUGAUCUACCAUCAAGAUCACUAUACUCGUCAUAGCUAGCUACUCAGGGAGCUAGGCUGAUCAAACCCCCAUCUUGACUUACACCUCCAUGGUCACCACAACACUGGAAAAGAACCAUGGUAAAUUAUACACUGGCCUUUACGGUUUCUGUGCAUAUGUGAUAUAUCACUUCUUACGCUUCAGAGGAUAGCAAGUCAAAUGGUCAUGCCCAUCUUCAAAGACAGCAAAGGCCAUAUUGUUGGGUCCAACGUGUAAAGUUGUCAGCAGAGGAGAUGACUAUUAAACUUAGUCCAAAGCCCCCUCAACAUCUUUGCUUUUCUAAGCUUUGCUGGAAUACAUUAUACCAGAAGUAAUUUGCAACGUGUUGUCUGUUUAACUGUGGACCUAUGUAAUGCUUUUAUCCAUGUUUAAAAAGGAAGGAAUUUGAUCAAAGGCAAACCAUCUCAUGUAAUUAGCCAAGGAAAAAGCUUUCAGGACUUUCAAAUGUUAACUGUUUUUCUCACCUAGGAAAUGCUAUAAAGCUCAAAUUAGAUAGGAAUGACUUCUACAUUUUUUUGUUUUAAACACCUAAGAGAUGCUUGUCAGGUAUGUAUAUUGCCAUAUUCUUAAUGCUUUGAGUGACGACAUCCAAUUCUGCACCUGUACCCUCUGGUACUUUUUAACCUUCCUGGAAUCCAUUUUCUAAAAAAUAAAGACAUUUUUAGAUCUGGAAAAAAAAAAAAAAGUGAAUAACUUCAGUCCAACUAUGUGCCAAGAAUGGGGAAAUCCAGACAUAUUUGGCAAAUGAGAGCAAGGACUCCCAUGUGAAUACAGAUGUUGGUGCUUGGAAGAAGGAUGCUGCCAUAUAGAAACUCAAAAUUUGUACAGAACAAGUAGGCAGCAGACAGCAAAGAAGCAGAUAGGCAGGCUGGCGAGCUGGAGAGCCCUAGUGCACCUUGGUAACAUAUCUAGUAAAACUGUCCCCAGUGAGAAGUAGAAGGUAGACCAUGAGCCUAGUGAAACCCCAACUCUUUGAGAAGUAGAUGGAGGCAGAGUGAUAUGUGCUGGAUACAGUUAUCUACCUUUAGCAAGAUCUUACAACAAAGAGGGCAGCUCAGAUGAGAACUGGCUGGUGUUCUGGAAGAGGUAGAGGGUACUAAGGAAUUCUACAGAUCAAGGUCCUUUUAAAGUUAGAAAAGCUGACUGCUCCUAGACCCUAGGUCUAGGUAAUAACUUUUCCUAAAAGUUUUAAGGCCCUAAAAGGUCUCUCAGUUCAAAAAAAGUGAUACAACCUUUCUGCAGGGAUCAGAUUAAGGGUUUUUAACCUUGCCAUCCAAACUUACUGUUUCAGACAGCUUUCAGAUAGCCAUCAUUCACUGAGAGAGAGGGGCAUGUACAUGAGGGAGCAGAGAUGAAUCACUCUUGAGAAUUAUAUAUGGGAAAGAGCUGUGGGAUUUACAAUACAGGAACUAGAAGCACAUACCAGAGAGCCAAGUUUUUAAGGUAAUUAUAUUGUUAAAGAAACCAUACAACCCGAUUAAAAAAAGACUUUGAGCCUUAAAAAAAGCAAGCUCUCAGGGUGUCCCCAGCAGGAAGCCCAGAUAAGCUAUCUUUCUGGUUUACACGUUGCUGGACCAUGAGGAGCCACAUUUGAACCUGAAGGCAAGGACUGCAUCACACGGAGAUCUUAAAUCCCUCUUUCUCUAAUAAAGGACUGCCCCAAAUGUGCAUUCAUUGACUUCACGGCCCCGUUCCAGGCAAGAACAUGAGACACAUGACGGGAGUAACUUCCAUUAGUUUCAGGGAAUAAGGGUCUUAAUUUCACAUUUCAUAUUUGUUAGGUAUCUUUAGGGACUAAAGGUGCCAAGGUGAAAAGAUAUGUUAAAAACUUGGUCUCUUUUCCUUUAAACCUGUCCUGAGCUACCCUCUUGAGUAAGUUGAUGCCACCAAGUUUUUUGAUGCUCUAUUCUCAUAGCAACAGGCUGUGAUGUCAGAGGGUUAUUUUAUCACAGAAGUCAUCCAAAAAAAGAUGCUGGGCUGUGAAGCAGAAAGCUGUGGCUUAAUUGCAUGUUACUCAACUAUCACUUCACAUAAAUAGAAAUGGAAAUAGAAAAUAAAAGACUCAUACUAACAGUUUAUGUGGACAUUUUUAUUAAUAGUUGCCAUGGUAUGAAGCAGUUUUCCUUUUAGGACUUUAUUAUCAGUGGUUAUGUAUUUUUAAAAAUAAUAUUACAGGGCAUCCAGUUACAAGUCUCAACAAGACUAUUUCCUGCGAAUAAAGGUAAGCUAGGUCAGGCACACAGGAAAGAAAGCCGCAUCAAAGCAUUUAAAAGAACAAUCAGCAUCAUAGAGGAAAAUACUACCUAUUACUAUGUUUGGAAUUUUUUUUAUGGUGAGAACCUUAAAACUGGUUUCACUAGCAGAAUUGAUCACACUGAAAGGCACAAUUAAAAGCACUACCUUUGUUUAUCAGACAAAUGAUCAUCCCUUAACUUGGUUGGUGUAGGGAAGAUAGCACUCUGUACAGCCACCAAAACUCAUGUGGCCACGUAAAUUCGUGGAGUGGCCUCCGUGUGAGAUAGGGUGGGUACGUCUGGAGGGGCUCAAUUAGGCCACAGCAACAAAGAAGCCGAGAGCUCAGUUGUUGAAGACCUGUGUUUGCUUGCUCACCCUGCACGCUGGUCAGGGUCAGCUGGGGGCUCUGUUCUUCGUCAUUAAGGGCAGCCACUAUCGAGAACCGUGCUCAUUACUACUACGGUGGAACAAGGAAACAAGGCAGGUGAUUCUGUGUAGCCCAAGCAGUACUCUCUCCUAACUGGAAAGACGUCUGGAAGGUGUGCUCGUCCUUAGGACUGCUCUCAAACUUCUGCUCUCUCUCCUUUCACGCACAAGGCCCAGCUGCACUUACCUGACCCCUGCCGUUAGAUGUGACCCUGUGACUUGCUUGGCUAAUACAAUGUGAAUGGAAGUGACAGGCAGAAGCUUCCAGAGCCCAUGAGUGCUCUGCCACAUGGUUUCUUCACCAAGAUGUUUGUCAAUUAAACCUGUAUAUAAGCAAAUACAAACCAAAGCGCAAUAAAUACAAUUUUUACCAAGAACUAUAAAAACAUCCAUACUUCAAAAAAAAAAUUCUCCCCUGGCGCCUGGCUGGCUCAUUCAGUUAAGCAUCUGUCUUUGGCUCAGGUCAUGAUCUCAGAGUCCUGGGGUCCAGUCCCGCAUCUGGGCUCCCAACUCAGUGGGGAGUCUGCUUCUCUGUCUUCCUUUGCCCCUCCACCCCCUGUUCGUAUUCUCUCUCUCUC
Molecule: long non-coding RNA, 5729 nt
Organism: Mirounga angustirostris (Northern elephant seal)
Lineage: Eukaryota; Metazoa; Chordata; Mammalia; Carnivora; Phocidae
Exons: 3
Source: RefSeq, a predicted model, not a curated record